Molecule: ribosomal RNA, 774 nt
Filed under: uncultured Neocallimastigales
Lineage: Eukaryota; Fungi; Neocallimastigomycota; Neocallimastigomycetes; Neocallimastigales
Description: partial large subunit ribosomal RNA
Rfam family: Eukaryotic large subunit ribosomal RNA
Source: RNAcentral
UAUGUGAUCGUCUCUCGCAUAUCAAUAAGCGGAGGAAAAGAAACUAACAAGGAUUCCCCUAGUAACGGCGAGUGAAGCGGGAAGAGCUCAAAUUUGAAAUCUUAAAGGGUUUCCCUUUACGAAUUGUAGUUUAAAGAAGUGUUUUCUGUUGAGGUUUUGGUAAAAGUUCUUUGGAAUAGGACAUCAUAGAGGGUGAGAAUCCCGUAUUUGACCUUUACUUUCAACUUUGUGAUACACUUUCAAAGAGUCGGAUUGUUUGGGAAUGCAGUCCAAAAUGGGUGGUAAAUUUCAUCUAAAGCUAAAUAUUGGCGAGAGACCGAUAGCGAACAAGUACCGUGAGGGAAAGAUGAAAAGAACUUUGAAAAGAGAGUUAAACAGUACGUGAAAUUGUCAAAAGGGAAGCGUUUGACACCAGUGUUGUUUUUCUGAAAAUCAAUUAAAGAACUGUUUAUGCUAAGUUGUUUAGACUUUAUCAGCUAACUGUUUAGUUUUGAGCUUUUCUUUAAUGCACUUUUCAGUUAACAAGUCAACAUCAAUUUCUUUUGCUGUAAAAAAGCUUGAGGAAGGUGGCUUGAGAUUCGUCUUAAGUGUUUAUAGCCUCUUGCCUAUGCAGUCGGAGAGAUUGAGGUCUGCAGCGUAGAUCCUUCGGGGCUAAAUGCAUUUGUGCUAAGUUAUAGCAUUUUAUAGACAACUUGUUGACUAUGAUUUGUCUUGUAGCUUACUCGCUUAUGUUAUUUUACCUACGCUUAGGAUGUUGAAGAUAUGCGCGACACG